AUUGAACGCUGGCGGCAGGCCUAACACAUGCAAGUCGAACGAGUGGCGGACGGGUGAGUAAUGUCCGGGAAACUGCCUGAUGGAGGGGGAUAACUACUGGCAACGGUAGCUAAUACCGCAUAAUAUCGUAUGCGCCCAGAUGGGAUUAGCUACUAGGUGUGGUAAAGGCUAACCUAGGCGACGAUCCCUAACUGGCCUGAGAGGAUGACCAGAAAUACGGGAACUGAGACCCGCUCCAGACGCCUACGCAGGGCAGCAGUGGGGAAUAGUGCACAAUGGGGGCAAACCGGAUGCAGACAUGCGGGUUGUACGAAGAAGGCCUUCGGGUUGUAAAGUCUUUUCAGCAGGGAGGCGUUACCCGCAGAAGAAGCACCGGCUAACUCCGUGCCAGCAGCCGCGGUAAUAC
RNAcentral lists this ribosomal RNA (406 nucleotides) under uncultured bacterium. RNAcentral's name for it is "partial 16S ribosomal RNA". It matches the Rfam family "Bacterial small subunit ribosomal RNA", at positions 30 to 526 of the family's 1533-position model. The record is from RNAcentral.